Molecule: ribosomal RNA, 459 nt
Filed under: uncultured bacterium
Lineage: Bacteria
Description: bacterial SSU rRNA
Rfam family: Bacterial small subunit ribosomal RNA
Source: RNAcentral
AGGUUUUAGACUUCCGUGGCUCAAGAAACGAACGCUGGCGGCAGGCUUAACACAUGCAAGUCGAACGCACCGCAAGGUGAGUGGCGCACGGGUGAGUAACGCGUGGGAAUGUACCCUUUAGUACGGAAUAGCUCCGGGAAACUGGAAUUAAUACCGUAUACGCCCUUCGGGGGGAAAGAUUUAUCGCUAAAGGAUCAGCCCGCGUGAGAUUAGGUAGUUGGUGGGGUAAUGGCCUACCAAGCCUACGAUCUCUAGCUGGUCUGAGAGGAUGAUCAGCCACACUGGAACUGAGACACGGUCCAGACUCCUACGGGAGGCAGCAGGUGGGGAAUAUUGGACAAGUGGGGAAACCCUGAUCCAGCCAUGCCGCGUGAAUGAUGAAGGCCUUAGGGUUGUAAAGUUUCUUUACCGAUGAAGAUAAUGACGGUAGUCGGAGAAAAAGCCCCGGCUAACUUCGUG